Lolium perenne is the source of this 1433-nucleotide non-coding RNA. Lineage: Eukaryota; Viridiplantae; Streptophyta; Magnoliopsida; Poales; Poaceae. The record is from RefSeq and is a predicted model, not a curated record.
UAAAAACUCGGCUUUGUUUAUCAGUUGUGGCUUUGCUAUGCAUUUAGGCGGAGAUUGAGGAGGCAGAAUUAGAGCCUUAGUUGUGCAGGUCUUCGGACAUCUCUUCAUUGAUAUGAAGGUUUUGAUGCACGAAAAAAGCAUGCAAGAUGAGGAGUUCAGAAUUCAGAUCCAACAACCAAGUUAAUCAAGGAACUAAACAUUUAUUAGAUGUUGGAUGCACAUUGUUCUAUGCUCAAGUUAGUUCACACAAAUAGUUCACCUGGUGACCUUCAGGUCUGAGCGACCAAUCAGCAACUCUAUAAUUUCAUUGAUUAAGCCACAAUGUCCAGUCAUGCCUCUUCCUAUCAGUCAUAGCCUGUACAGCAGCUGCACAAUCACUCAAGAUUUACUGGGACAUGACACCAUGUAGCGGCAAGGGUUGAUGCCUUCUUUCAGAGCACAAAAUUGAGCUUACUAAGCAUUCAGCCAAUUGGUGAAGGUGCAGGAAGCGGUCGAUAUUUACUUGUGUGCAGCCUGCAUCAGGGCUUUCCAGCAAUGCGAAGGAACUUUGACUUUACGACCGAGUUUGUUACCUCUUCUUUUUGUAAAGGACAUUUUUGUUUGGUUACUUUCGCUUGGAUCAUCUGAAUUUUCAUGUAGUUCUAUUCUGCAGGGCAGCUCUCUACGGUCGCUGUAGGUUCAUUCAGUUCUUACACUCUUUGUUUUUGCCUGGUUUUUCGUCUUAUUUGCAUGUUUCCUUUCGAUCUGGCAUACUGAUUGACUCGCUUGCGCAUCUGCACCUCCAUACUAAAGCCAGAUAACUACGUGCAGGUUACAGUGGCAAUGCAAACUUCUUCAGUUAAAGAUGUCUCGUGGUGAGGCCAUCAGUGGAAGAUCCUUACGCACGUCGUUGUUUUAUGCGAAUACAGAGUUGAAGAGCAUGGAAAAAACUUUAUGAAUUGAAUUUCAUCAUCGUUAACUGCAAAGGUCCAGAAUUUGGACUAUGGUGACCACAUGAACCAACGACUAUGCAAAUCUACUCGAAAGAAUGUUUUGUCUAGGAAGACCACUGUAACAGCAGUGUGGAAUAUUAUCUACCUAUCUACUGCCAUGGAAGUGCCAAUUAGCCACCUAUCUACUACUACGGCAAACACUUAUACCAGCUAAUGUAAUGUUAAGUAGUAGAUCUGUAUUAUUAUGGCAACUACUUCUCUUGGGUUCGUUAGCAUGCCUACUAAACUUGGUCACUGGCCACUGGCCACUGCCGUGAUGAUCAAACCUCAUGCUGCAGUACAUAUAUUUUAGACUGAACACAUAAGCAAUGCACGGGUCUUCAACGAUUUGCCGAUCUUUGUCCAGGUUGUAUGCUCUCGAGUGGUUGUUUCGGGUGUUGAGCUUUCAGUUAAGUGUAUGUUUGCCUACUUUUACUCAUGUCCCUUGGUUGUGGUCACACA